GAUGAACGCUGGCGGCGUGCCUAAUACAUGCAAGUCGAGCGAACGGACGAGAAGCUUGCUUCUCUGAUGUUAGCGGCGGACGGGUGAGUAACACGUGGAUAACCUACCUAUAAGACUGGGAUAACUUCGGGAAACCGGAGCUAAUACCGGAUAAUAUUUUGAACCGCAUGGUUCAAAAGUGAAAGACGGUCUUGCUGUCACUUAUCGAUGGAUCCGCGCUGCAUUAGCUAGUUGGUAAGGUAACGGCUUACCAAGGCAACGAUGCAUAGCCGACCUGAGAGGGUGAUCGGCCACACUGGAACUGAGACAAGGUCCAGACUCCUACGGGAGGCAGCAGUAGGGAAUCUUCCGCAAUGGGCGAAAGCCUGACGGAGCAACGCCGCGUGAGUGAUGAAGGUCUUCGGAUCGUAAAACUCUGUUAUUAGGGAAGAACAUAUGUGUAAGUAACUGUGCACAUCUUGACGGUACCUAAUCAGAAAGCCACGGCUAACUACGUG
This 497-nucleotide ribosomal RNA is filed under the name uncultured bacterium. Its description in RNAcentral is "partial 16S ribosomal RNA". It matches the Rfam family "Bacterial small subunit ribosomal RNA", at positions 28 to 507 of the family's 1533-position model. The record is from RNAcentral.